AGACGUCUACAUUAGAUACCCCUGUAGUCCCAGCCGUAAACUAUGCGCGUUAGGUGUAUCGGUGACCACGAGUCACCGAGGUGCCGAAGGGAAACCGUGAAACGUGCCGCCUGGGAAGUACGGUCGCAAGGCUGAAACUUAAAGGAAUUGGCGGGGAGCACCACAACGGGUGGAGCCUGCGGUUUAAUUGGACUCAACGCCGGGAAGCUCACCGGAUAGGACAGCAGAAUGAUUGCCGGGCUGAAGACCCUGCAUGACUAGCUG
RNAcentral lists this ribosomal RNA (264 nucleotides) under uncultured archaeon. RNAcentral describes it as "partial 16S ribosomal RNA". It matches the Rfam family "Archaeal small subunit ribosomal RNA", at positions 714 to 982 of the family's 1478-position model. The record is from RNAcentral.